RNAcentral lists this ribosomal RNA (253 nucleotides) under uncultured bacterium. RNAcentral's name for it is "partial 16S ribosomal RNA". It matches the Rfam family "Bacterial small subunit ribosomal RNA", at positions 524 to 776 of the family's 1533-position model. The record is from RNAcentral.
UACAGAGGAGCCAAGCGUUGUCCGGAUUGACUGGGCGUAAAGCGCACGCAGGCGGACGCGCGCGUGGGGUGUGAAAUCUGGCCGCUUAACGGCCAGACGCCAUCCCAUACGGCUGGGCUCGAGCCCUGCAGAGGUCCAUGGAAUUGCCGGUGUAGUGGUGAAAUGCGUAGAGAUCGGCAGGAACACCCAGGGGGAAACCAGUGGACUGGGCAGGAGCUGACGCUCAGGUGCGAAAGCGUGGGGAGCGAACCGG